RNAcentral lists this ribosomal RNA (253 nucleotides) under uncultured prokaryote. Its description in RNAcentral is "partial 16S ribosomal RNA". It matches the Rfam family "Bacterial small subunit ribosomal RNA", at positions 524 to 776 of the family's 1533-position model. The record is from RNAcentral.
UACAGAGGGUGCGAGCGUUAAUCGGAUUUACUGGGCGUAAAGGGCGCGUAGGCGGUGAUAUGUGAGUGAUGUGAAAGCCCUGGGCUUAACCUAGGAAGCGCAUCGCAGACUAUGUCACUGGAGUAGAUGAGAGGGUGGCGGAAUUUCCGGUGUAGCGGUGAAAUGCGUAGAGAUCGGAAGGAACGUCGAUGGCGAAGGCAGCCACCUGGCAUCAUACUGACGCUGAGGCGCGAAAGCGUGGGGAUCGAACAGG